Molecule: transfer RNA, 85 nt
Filed under: Felis catus (domestic cat)
Lineage: Eukaryota; Metazoa; Chordata; Mammalia; Carnivora; Felidae
Rfam family: tRNA
About the family: Transfer RNA (tRNA) molecules are approximately 80 nucleotides in length. Their secondary structure includes four short double-helical elements and three loops (D, anti-codon, and T loops).
Source: Rfam by way of RNAcentral
ACCUGUGUGGUUCAUUUGGUUGAGCAUCUGAUUUCGACUCAGGUCAUGAUCUCAGGGUUCAUGGGUUCAAGCCCCAUGUCAGGCU